This 455-nucleotide ribosomal RNA is filed under the name Bacillus sp. T27. RNAcentral's name for it is "bacterial SSU rRNA". It matches the Rfam family "Bacterial small subunit ribosomal RNA", at positions 983 to 1533 of the family's 1533-position model. The record is from RNAcentral. Lineage: Bacteria; Bacillati; Bacillota; Bacilli; Caryophanales; Bacillaceae.
GUGGUCACUGCACCUAGAGAAGGGCUUUCCCCUUCGGGGGACAGAGUGACAGGUGGUGCAUGGUUGUCGUCAGCUCGUGUCGUGAGAUGUUGGGUUAAGUCCCGCAACGAGCGCAACCCUUGAUCUUAGUUGCCAGCAUUCAGUUGGGCACUCUAAGGUGACUGCCGGUGACAAACCGGAGGAAGGUGGGGAUGACGUCAAAUCAUCAUGCCCCUUAUGACCUGGGCUACACACGUGCUACAAUGGAUGGUACAAAGGGCUGCAAACCUGCGAAGGUAAGCGAAUCCCAUAAAGCCAUUCUCAGUUCGGAUUGCAGGCUGCAACUCGCCUGCAUGAAGCCGGAAUCGCUAGUAAUCGCGGAUCAGCAUGCCGCGGUGAAUACGUUCCCGGGUCUUGUACACACCGAAGCGCUUCCUCCUAUCUCCUCCACGUCUUCCUCCCUUUUACUACCCCCC